RNAcentral lists this ribosomal RNA (740 nucleotides) under uncultured prokaryote. RNAcentral's name for it is "bacterial SSU rRNA". It matches the Rfam family "Bacterial small subunit ribosomal RNA", at positions 730 to 1482 of the family's 1533-position model. The record is from RNAcentral.
UAGGCUACAACUGACGNUGAAGCACGAAAGCGUGGGGAUCAAACAGGAUUAGAUACCNUGNUANNCCACGCAGUAAACGAUGAUAACUAGCUGUUUGCGAUACACAGUAAGCGGCACAGCGAAAGCGUUAAGUUAUCCACCUGGGGAGUACGCCGGCAACGGUGAAACUCAAAGGAAUUGACGGGGGCCCGCACAAGCGGAGGAACAUGUGGUUUAAUUCGAUGAUACGCGAGGAACCUUACCCGGGCUUGAACGUAGGGAGACAGUUCUGGAAACAGAAUCUCUAGCAAUAGCUGCCUACGAGGUGCUGCAUGGUUGUCGUCAGCUCGUGCCGUGAGGUGUCGGCUUAAGUGCCAUAACGAGCGCAACCCUCAUCGAUAGUUACUAACAGGUUAAGCUGAGGACUCUAUCGAGACUGCCGACGUAAGUCGUGAGGAAGGUGGGGAUGACGUCAAAUCAGCACGGCCCUUACGUCCAGGGCUACACACGUGUUACAAUGGGGGGUACAAAGGGCAGCUACCUGGCGACAGGAUGCUAAUCUCAAAAACCUCUCUCAGUUCGGAUUGGAGUCUGCAACCCGACUCCAUGAAGCUGGAUUCGCUAGUAAUCGCGCAUCAGCCACGGCGCGGUGAAUACGUUCCCGGGCCUUGUACACACCGCCCGUCAAGCCAUGGGAGCCGGGGGGACCUGAAGUAUGCAACCGUAAGGAGCGUCCUAGGGUAAAACUGGUGACUGGGGCU